This 463-nucleotide ribosomal RNA is filed under the name uncultured bacterium. RNAcentral describes it as "partial 16S ribosomal RNA". It matches the Rfam family "Bacterial small subunit ribosomal RNA", at positions 28 to 507 of the family's 1533-position model. The record is from RNAcentral.
GAUGAACGCUGACAGAAUGCUUAACACAUGCAAGUCUUUGGCGAAGCUGUGCUUGCACCGCCUAGCCAGGGCGGACGGGUGAGUAACGCGUAAGGAACUUGCCCUGCAGUCAGGGAUAACAGACGGAAACGACUGAUAAGACCUGGUAAAGUCAGGCGGACUCAUGUCCAGCCUGAUGAAAAGAGAUGCUGCAGGAGAGCCUUGCGUCCUAUUAGCUUGUUGGUGGGGUAACGGCCCACCAAGGCGAUGAUAGGUAGCCGGCCUGAGAGGGUGGACGGCCACAAGGGGACUGAGAUACGGCCCUUACUCCUACGGGAGGCAGCAGUGGGGAAUAUUGGACAAUGGGGGCAACCCUGAUCCAGCAAUUCUGUGUGCACGAUGAAGGUUUUCGGAUUGUAAAGUGCUUUCAGCAGGGAAGAAAAAAAUGACGGUACCUGCAGAAGAAGCGACGGCUAAAUACGUG